GACGAACGCUGGCGGCGUGCUUAACACAUGCAAGUCGAACGGUGAAAGCGGAGCUUGCUCCGCUGGAUCAGUGGCGAACGGGUGAGUAACACGUGGGCAACCUGCCCCUCACUUCGGGAUAACUCCGGAAAACCGGGGCUAAUACCGGAUACGACCUCCUUGGGCAUCCUGGGAGGUGGAAAGUUUUUCGGUGAGGGAUGGGCCCGCGGCCUAUCAGCUUGUUGGUGAGGUAGUGGCUCACCAAGGCGACGACGGGUAGCCGGCCUGAGAGGGCGACCGGCCACACUGGGACUGAGACACGGCCCAGACUCCUACGGGAGGCAGCAGUGGGGAAUAUUGCGCAAUGGGCGAAAGCCUGACGCAGCAACGCCGCGUGCGGGAUGAAGGCCUUCGGGUUGUAAACCGCUUUCAGCAGGGUAGAAGCCGCAAGGUGACGGUACCUGCAGAAGAAGCACCGGCUAACUACGUGCCAGCCGCCGCCGUAA
Molecule: ribosomal RNA, 485 nt
Filed under: uncultured bacterium
Lineage: Bacteria
Description: partial 16S ribosomal RNA
Rfam family: Bacterial small subunit ribosomal RNA
Source: RNAcentral